GACGAACGCUGGCGGCGUGCUUAACACAUGCAAGUCGAACGGAAAGGCCCUGCUUUUGUGGGGUGCUCGAGUGGCGAACGGGUGAGUAACACGUGAGUAACCUGCCCUUGACUUUGGGAUAACUUCAAGAAACUAGGGCUAAUACAUGAUAGGAGCUCCUGCUUCAUGGUGGGGGUUGGAAAGUUUCGGCGGCUGGGGAUGGACUCGCGGCUUAUCAGCUUGUUGGUGGGGUAGUGGCUUACCAAGGCGUUGACGGGUAGCCGGCCUGAGAGGGUGACCGGCCACAGUGGGACUGAGAUACGGCCAAGACUGCUACGGGCGGCAGAAGUGGGGAAUAGUGCACGAUGGGCGGAAGCAUGAUGCAGCAACGUCGCGUGCGGGAUGACGGCCUUCGGGUUGUAAACCGCUUUCGCCUGUGACGAAGCGUGAGUGACGGUAAUGGGUAAAGAAGCACCGGCUAACUACGUG
This 468-nucleotide ribosomal RNA is filed under the name uncultured bacterium. RNAcentral's name for it is "partial 16S ribosomal RNA". It matches the Rfam family "Bacterial small subunit ribosomal RNA", at positions 28 to 507 of the family's 1533-position model. The record is from RNAcentral.